UGAGUUAAGUCGUCAGCCUUGGUUUACAAUCUUGUCGCAAUGGCCUGAAAAAUUUGAAAAAAUGCCGUAAAGCAGAUUUCGGUUUGGAUUUAUUUGGCACCCAAAGUCAUGAAGUUGGAGUAGUUAGUAAUCAUAUAUACAUGUCUUGAUAUGGAGAUUGAAUAAAAUUUUGUUGUUAUUAAUUAUAAUAGCACUAGUAUACUUAAUACAGUAGAAUGC
RNAcentral lists this unclassified non-coding RNA (219 nucleotides) under Borreliella andersonii. Its description in RNAcentral is "partial 16S-23S ribosomal RNA intergenic spacer". The record is from RNAcentral. Lineage: Bacteria; Pseudomonadati; Spirochaetota; Spirochaetia; Spirochaetales; Borreliaceae.